This 30-nucleotide non-coding RNA is filed under the name Mus musculus (house mouse). The record is from RNAcentral. Lineage: Eukaryota; Metazoa; Chordata; Mammalia; Rodentia; Muridae.
UGCUUAGUCAGCAUCCCCUCAGGAGGACAG